UACAGAGGCCUCGAGCGUUGUUCGGAAUUACUGGGCGUAAAGCGAAUGUAGGUGGUGACGUAAGUCAGAUGUGAAAGCCCAGGGCUUAACCCUGGAAAUGCAUUUGAUACUGCGUUGCUAGAGUAUGAUAGAGGAAAGGGGAAUUCCUAGUGUAGGAGUGAAAUCCGUAGAUAUUAGGAGGAAUACCAAUGGCGAAGGCACCUUUCUGGUUCAUCACUGACACUGAGAUUCGACAGCGUGGGGAGCAAACAGG
This 253-nucleotide ribosomal RNA is filed under the name uncultured bacterium. RNAcentral describes it as "partial 16S ribosomal RNA". It matches the Rfam family "Bacterial small subunit ribosomal RNA", at positions 524 to 776 of the family's 1533-position model. The record is from RNAcentral.